Molecule: non-coding RNA, 76 nt
Filed under: Fusobacterium varium
Lineage: Bacteria; Fusobacteriati; Fusobacteriota; Fusobacteriia; Fusobacteriales; Fusobacteriaceae
Also listed under: 1 other name
Description: c-di-GMP sequence
Rfam family: c-di-GMP-I riboswitch aptamer
About the family: GEMM was predicted in a large-scale screen for bacterial structured RNA regulatory elements.
Source: RNAcentral
UUAAUUUCUUGGCAAAGUAAUGGAAACAUUAUGACGCAAAGCUAUAGGGCCUUUUAAAUGGCAGCCAGUUGCAAUU